This is a long non-coding RNA of Phaethon lepturus (White-tailed tropicbird), 311 nucleotides long. RefSeq lists it as uncharacterized. The record is from RefSeq and is a predicted model, not a curated record. The transcript has 3 exons. NCBI's taxonomy places the organism in Eukaryota, Metazoa, Chordata, Aves, Phaethontiformes, Phaethontidae.
UCAGCAUGAUCCCGGGGCACGGGCCGGUGAUCCAGUCGGUGCUGGGAACCUUCCUCACCUGGGGGCUGACGGCGGCCGGCUCGGCGCUGGUGUUCGUGUUUUCCAGUGGGCAGAGGCGGAUCCUAGAUGGGAGCUUAGGCUUCGCCGCAGGGGUCAUGCUGGCUGCUUCCUACUGGUCCCUCCUGGCCCCGGCCAUCGACAUGGCCGAGGAGUCCGGUAGCUUCGGAGCCUUCGCUUUCUUCCCGGUGGCCGUGGGCUUUGCUCUGGGAGCAGCUUUCGUGUACUUCGCCGACCUGCUCAUCCCGGCGCUG